Molecule: long non-coding RNA, 3995 nt
Organism: Carya illinoinensis
Lineage: Eukaryota; Viridiplantae; Streptophyta; Magnoliopsida; Fagales; Juglandaceae
Exons: 2
Source: RefSeq, a predicted model, not a curated record
GGAAUACUUAAUGUAUGGGCUGUAGUUAACGUAGGAAAUAGUUUACGUGUACAGAAUACUUAACGUACGGGCUGUAGUUAACCUAAGAAAUACUUUACGUGUACAGAAAAUUCUGCAGCAACAUAUAUGUAACUCUUUCUAUAAAUAAUGAAAGGAACCCAAGGGAAAAAGGGAUUCAGACCAAACUUGACAUGAUAUCAGAGCUUUUACUCUGAUUAUCGUUUCUUGGUGGUCUUUAUCCUUGAAAGUUUCUGAGUUGUGACAGUGGGUGAGUUUCUAAGUGUGUGGUGAUUGUUUUCUCACACGUCUGUUGAGUUCCAACUUGUGGGAUUGUUACCUUGGUGGCUUUGAGGCUGUCGGCAGGUUCUGUGUGGUGGUUUGCCGUGAUCUUGUUCUGGGCAGUGUAGUUUGGUGCUUGUCGGCAGUUUCUGAGGAGUUUCUGGUGGCUGAAGACGUGCGGGUAUCUCCUUUGGUGAGUAUCGACAACUUCUGUGGAAGUUUCUGGUGGAGUCCGAAAAUUUCUGGGUGCUUGUCAGCAGUUUCUGAAUAUUUUCUGGUGGAGUCCGAAAGUUUCUGGGUGCUAGACAGGUCCUUUUUUUUUUCUCUCCUGUUUGACUGGGGGAUUUUCUUGUUUUUUUGCCGUGGGAUUUUUCUCUGCUUGGUAUUUUUACGCUGGUUGAGAACUUGAGUGGGGUAUCAGGCCUUAUUUGACUGUCUUACUUGGAGUUAGCUCUUUAUUUUGUGAACUGGGCUAUUUGACCGUGGGCUGUUAUUUUUGGCCAUUUGUUCUGCUAUUUUUGACCUGCCUUGGUUUAUUGAUUAAAUUUGCUGUUUGGGCUUAUUUCUUUUAAAGUACUUUUUCAUCAUGUCUAUUGAAAAUACUAUUAUUCGCUUUAUUGGAAAGAAUUUUCCUACAUGAAAAUUUCAAUUUAAGAUGUUCUUGAAAGGAAAAGAAUUAUCGAAUCACAUUGAUAAUUCUGCUAACAUUCCAACUGAUGAAAAAGAAUUUGCUCAAUGGGGAAGUCAAGGAUGCCAAGGUAAUCUCUUGGCUAUUAGGGAUGAUUGAGUCUCACCUUGUGACCAAUCUUCGCUGUUUUACCACGGCUCAAGCUAUGUGGGACUAUCUCCAUCACAUUUAUCACCAGAAUCACAGUGCUCGAAAAUUCCAAUUGGAGGUGGAAAUCAGCAAUUAUACUCAAGGUAAUUUGACCAUUGAACAAUUUUAUUCUAGUUUUAUCUUUGGAGCGAGUAUUCUGCUAUUGUUCAUGCUAAGGUUCCCUCUACGGCCCUCGCGGCUCUUCAAGCGGUUCAUACUGAGUCAAAUUUUUGAUGAAACUUCGCCCUGAAUUGAGCCUGUUCGAGCUGGUUUAUUAAACCGUAGUUCGGCUCCUUCUUUGGAUAUUUGUUUGAGAGAUUUAUUACGUGAAAAACAACGGUUAUCCACUCGGAUGGGUAUGACUUCUGCGAAAGUCUUUUCUGAGGCUGUGAAUGUAGCCUAUGCAGCACAAGGGAGAGGGAGGAACAAGGUACAAUGUUUCAAUUGCAAGGAAUUUGGUCAUAUUGCCCCGGAAUUGCUCUAAGAAAGUUUGUAACUACUGCAAAAAAGAGGGUCAUAUCAUCAAAGACUGUCGAGUGCGACCUCAGAAUCGCCAAUCACAAGCUUUUGAAGUUGCUGUUCAAUCCUCUUCUCCUCCUUCUGCACCACCUAUUGUAAACUCUGAUUCAUCUGUUCUCACACCAGCAAUGGUCCAACAGAUGAUUGUGUCUGCUUUUACGGCCUUAGGCUUGCAAGGAUCUGGUGUCGGGGACGGUAAUCGCGAAGGGGCCUAAAGUGGGACGUUUAUUUCCUUUACAGUUUUCUAUUCCUAAUGUUGUUUCUCUUACUUGUACGGCUAUUGCCAAUACUAAUAAAGUCUGGCAUAAGAAAUUAGGUCAUCCUAAUUCUGUUGUCUUGGCUCAUCUUAUGAAACAUGGUUUUUUAGGCAAUAAAGAUUUCUUUUCCUUUUCUCCUGUAUCUUUUGAUUGUGCUACUUGUCGUCUUGGUAAAAGUAAAACUUUACCUUUUCCUGUGCAUGGUAGUCGUGCCUCUAAUUGUUUUGAGAUUGUGCAUACUGACGUUUGGGGUGAGUCCUGUUAUUUCUCAUGGUCAGUAUCGUUAUUUUGUCACAUUUAUUUAUGAUUAUAGUCGAUUCACUUGGAUAUAUUUUCUCCAUUCUAAAGCUGAUGUAUUUUCUGUCUUUCAAAAAUUUGUUGCGCUUGUCGAGACAAUUCCGUACUUGUAUCAAAACUUUACGCUCCGACUCAGGUGGGGAGUACAUGUCUCAUUCUUUUCAGAAUUUUCUUCAGCAAAAGGGGAUCAUUUCCCAACGUUCUUGUCCUUAUACUCCUCAACAAAAUAGAGUUGCUGAGCGUAAGAAUCGUCAUCUCUUAGAUGUCGUCUGUACUUUGUUGAUUGAUUCUUCUGUACCUUCUAAAUUUUGGGUAGAAGCUUUAUCUACUGCUGUUUAUUUGAUCAAUCGUUUGCCUACUGCCACUCUAGAUUAUGAUUCUCCCUAUUUUCGAUUAUUUGGCAUAUCCCCUGAAUAUCAAUCCUUUCAUAUUUUUGGGUGUGUUUGUUUUGUUCAUUUGCCUCCUGUUGAGCGUCAUAAGCUUGCUGCACAAUCUGUCACGUGUGCCUUUAUGGGAUAUAAUCCUACUCAGAAAGGAUUUAUUUGUUAUAAUACUCAUGCAAACAAAUUCCGAAUCUCACAGAAUGUGAUUUUCUUUGAAAAUCAAUAUUUUUUUCAAUCUCAAGUUAUUUCUGAUCCUCCUAUUACUCUUCUUCCUGCUUUUGAUGAUGUGUCCUCUUCUAUUGAGCGAUUUAAACCAGGUAGGAUGUAUCAUUGACAUCUUCCCCUGUAAUAUCCCAUAUGAUAAGGAUAUGGGUAGGUGGUGUAUGGGAUCCCACAUUGCUUGGGAAGGAAAAGUUUGUGCUCUUUAUACGGUUCCAAUGGGGCUCUAAUUGUAUCAUUGACUAGUCCUUUUGGAGUAUAGGCCAUGUGGUUUGGGCCUUCCAUUGGGGCGUUACAAAUAGUAUCAGAGCUUAUCUCAACCAGAAAUGUGGGACUUGAGCCGUGCCACCUACAACGGAUAGUCUCGACGAGGACGUCGGGAAUUUAAGGGGGGUAGACUGUAAUACCCCAUAUGAUAAGGAUAUGGGUAGGUGGUGUAUGGGAUCCCACAUUGCUUGGGAAGGAAAAGUUUGUGCUCUUUAUAAGGUUCCAAUGGAGCUCUAAUUGUAUCAUUGACUAGUCCUUUUUGGAGUAUAGGCCAUGUGGUUUGGGCCUUCCAUUGGGGCGUUACAUCCCCCUUCUUCCACGCCCCUUCCAGACACUGAUCCGUCAUCUAAUUUUGCGGUUCCUAUACCUCAGCACUCCACCCGAGCUACACAUCCACCAGGUAGGUAUGGUUUUCCUCAUAUCUCACUUACUGCCAUUCUCGACACUGUUUCUGUUCCUCACUCUUAUACCCAAGCAGCCACCCAAGUAUGUUGGCAGCAGGCCAUGCAAGAAGAAAUCCAAGCUCUUCAAGACAAUCACACUUGGGAUCUUGUGAUUUGUCCCUCUGGUGUUAAACUUAUUGGUUGUAAAUGGGUGUACUCAGUCAAGUUUCGAGCUGAUGGCUCACUGAGUAGAUAUAAGGCCCGUCUUGUGGUUCUUGAGAACCGACAGGAGUAUGGUAUUGAUUAUGAAGAGACAUUUGCACCUGUUGCCAAAAUGACUACUGUGCGGACUAUCUUGGCACUUGCUGCGUCGCAAGGGUAGUCUCUUCAGCAGAUGGAUGUAAAGAAUACUUUUCUACAUGGGGAUUUGAAGGAAGAAAUCUAUGUCUCCACCUCCCGGCAUAUUUACUAUACCUUCCUCAGAGGUUUGUCGGCUAUGCCGAUCCUUGUAUGGACUGAAACAGGCUCUACGUGCAUAGUUUGAUAAAUUUCACUCUACGCUACUUGCUUUUCA